Artibeus jamaicensis (Jamaican fruit-eating bat) is the source of this 338-nucleotide long non-coding RNA. RefSeq lists it as uncharacterized. The transcript is spliced from 3 exons. The record is from RefSeq and is a predicted model, not a curated record. NCBI's taxonomy places the organism in Eukaryota, Metazoa, Chordata, Mammalia, Chiroptera, Phyllostomidae.
GUCAGGGUCACAGUGUCCUCGCUGCAGGAACUCAGUGUGGAGCCAGCACCCACGCCGCUCCCCACGGCCCCAAACCCAAGGGAGCUCUGGGGAGACCGCAGGGAGUCAGAGGGGCCCCGCCACCCUGGCCCACGCAGCCCAGGCCUCGCCACUACGCGAACGACUAAAGACGCCCACGCAGCAGCGGUGACCUGGAGCUGCAAAGCGUCCACCUCCGUGUCCGAAAACUCGAUGAGCAUGCGUUUCUUGACCACAGUCCUCUUGGUCUGGCCAGCUGUCGGGCAGCCCCACCUCCUGCCCCACCAGGACAGGUGCCCGCGAGGCGACUGAGGGGACAA